AGCCGCAGGAACAUGGAUCUCAUGCAGAAAAACCAGGAAGAUUUCAAGGCCUUUGCUCAUGUUCUGGCCAGAGACAGGGAUGUACGUGAGACUUACAUUCGGGUUAGUGGAAAAAAAAACUACUUUGAAUGGUACAUUACUUAUAUCAGCACUAGUUUGCAUCAGUCCCAGAUCCUCAAAUCAAAUGUGGCUUUUUAUCUUUGUAGGAUUUAAUGGAGGAGCAAUAUGGUGAACGCUAUGCACAGAAACUGGAGGAGAGACUUGUACACUAUUUGGAAGAGCUAAAUAAAGUCCUGCCACAACCAACAUAUAUUGAACAGGUACUGAAGCAGUCCCAUUCAUAUGGGACAGGAGAGAAGAUCCUAAAAAAAAUACUUUCAAGGGAUAGUGCAUCUCUAGCCACAGUUCUGAAGAGACUCUUGCAUUGCGCUGUAGCAACAAAUCAGAGCCUUGACGACAGUCUCUCACCAUCACUUUCAAACACCUGUGAGGUACAAAGGGACGCUGAAGUUGUUAAAGCAUCCAAUGGCACCCAAAGGUCAUCUCAGAACAACACAAAGGAGAAUCGACUCUCACAAACCAGCGAAAAAGAACCGCUUGGUUCUCAGGGCUUGUGGCAGAAAAGAAACACAGAAACUGCUUCACCUCGGGAGAAGAUUUGUGGUGAUGGAGUAAUUGUUACGUCCACGCAGUUGUCAGAUUCUGAAACAGAUCAGAUUGACUUCAGCCAGUCUCUUCUGGUUGGGACACACAGACAGAAGAAAACUCAAUCUGAACCAGAACAGAAGGAAAGUGAGACUGCCUUUCCAGAGCAGGUCUGCUCCAGACAUGGCAAAAAAAUGAGGAGCAUCCUUCAGGAAUGUUCUGAAGAGCUUGAUGGAGGAGUCGUACAAGCAGAAUGCACCCCGACAUCAAGCCAGAGCACUCCACCUCUUCUCCCGUACACACCACAACCUCAAGCAUCUCCAAACCAGCACUCGUUGUCCUCUGACCCAGAUUCAUCCACUACAAACAUUUCACUGUCCUUCAUCAGGCAGGUCAGUCUUUCACCAGUGUCUUCAAAGAGUCCUGUUGCUCCUUCACCUUCAGUUCUCCAGCAGACCUCAGCCUCAAAGCAACUUGCAGGACAGAUUUUAGCUACCGUUUUCUUCACCGAACCAAGCAGAACUGAUGAACACAAUCUGAAACUGUCCUUAGAGAGUCAAACCUUCCUAAUGCAGUCCAAGUGGCUUCAACCUCAAGUGUGCCUUACUAGACUAAGCAAGGAAGAAUGUGCCAGAGCCAUGGAUUCAUACAGAGCCCGUGACAUUUUAGAAGGAGAGCAAGAACCUGAAGAUGAUCAUCAAUACAUGUUAUUUGAUGUAAAUACAUUGUAUUCUGAUUCAUACUCCGAAGACUCAACAGACUCUGAUGACCCUGAUUACAAGCCUGACUCGAGGAAAUCAAAAAGAAAGUCCCGGUGAAUGUAGUCUUCAUCAUGUUUUACAGAUGACACAGAUUUUAGCAUUUUGCUUUGGAUGUUUGAAUUAACUCGCAUUAGGGUUGAGAAAAUAUGCAGCUUUUUUACAUUAUUUUACCUCAUCGGUUUCCUUCAUGGAGGUCAGAUGAUUAAAGCUCUUGAUGGUCAGCAAAUCAGUCUUUCACCAGUGUCCUCAAAGAAACCAGUUACCCCUUAAUCUUCAGUUCACCAACAGUUCUCCUCACAAUUUCAGUCCAUUGUCUCAAAGCAACUUGACAUUUAAAGAAUCAACACAGGGCAGAUUUGAGCUACCAUUGUCUUCACAGAACCAGAGAACACAAUCUGAGACUAUACUCAAAAGCUUCCUUAUGCAAUCCAAGUGGCUUCAACCUCAACCAUGCCUUCACAGAUUGAGCAAGGAAGAAUGUGUAAGAGCCAUGGAUUCAUACAGAGCCUGUGACAAUUUAGAAGAAGCUUUUCACCUUAUUUUACCUCGUCAUUUACCUCACGGUAGUUUUUCACCAGUGUCCUCAAAGGAACCAGUUGCUCCUUCACCUUGAGUCCACCAAUAGUUCUCCUCAUCAUCUCAAUCCACAGCCUCAAAACAACUAGUCACUCCAGGAAUCAGUGCAGGAUGGAUUUUAUCCACUAUUGUCUCCACCCAACCAAGCUGAACCAAUGAACACAAUCUGAAACCGUCCUAGAGAGUCAAAGCUUCCUCAUGAAGUCCAUGUGGCUUCAACAGUCUAAGCAUAUUUUCUGUAUUUUAGGACAACAAUAGCCUGAAGAUUAUCAAUACAUGUUAUAUGAUGUAAAUGCACUGUAUUCUGAUUUAUACUCAGAAUAUUCAUGACUUGAUUACAAGCCUAACGGAGACUAACUCAGGUGCCAGUGAACAUGGUCUGCAACAUAUUUUAGAUGCAUAGCUACUCUAACAUUGAGUUUGGCCCUUUACUUAGGAUGUUUGAAUGAACUCACAUUAGGGUUGGGAAGCUAUGCAACUUGUUACCUCAUCGUUUACCUCAUAAAGGUCAAAAUGCUUGCCUUAAACCUCAUGAAGGUCAAUGACAAAAUAUUUGUGUCCAGUAUGUCUUUUGUAAUCAGUCAUUUUAGACUCCUGUUGCCCUGGAUGUCCUAUGAAGUAUGAGUAUAUAACUCUAAAAAACAUGGUUUCCAAUGUGGAACACUGUUUGCUGUUGGUUGAGUGACGCGUAUGCUGGGUCAGGGGUUUCGCUGGGUCUUUUUUGACUGUUUUUUGCCUAUAAGGUUGUGUUGUUCCUACUGAAUAGCAGGUCUGAAGUGUUUUAAGGUUGGUCUUAACUUCACUAAUUCAGUGUUAUGUGUGUACGUGCUGGUUUCUUAAAUGGGUGGUUAUGCCAAGUACAAAAAAACAAACAUGAAAGAGGGUUGUGGGUUUAAAGUUCUGACUUUUAUUUACCUGACUUGAGUGUAAAUUUGACUUGAUGUUAUUGCAAACUAAUUUGUCAAUAUUGCAUCAGAUAUAGUGCACUCAUUCAUGCGUGCUGUCAGGUAGAAAAAAAAUGGAAUCUAAUGUCUGUAGGUGUUUUGGAUAAUGACGAUUGUUUGAGCUUGAAAGAGUUACAUAAUCCAAGUGACAGCAUUUUUUUUUUCUAAUUUAUUUUUAAGCCAUUUGACUUUUAUUAAAGCAGUAAUUCACCCAAAACGAAAGUUGUCAUUAUUUUGUCAUUAUUUACCUCAUGUAGUUGUCUUUUCUUACUGUCAAACAAGAAUUAAAAAUGUUUGAUUUAUCAAGUUUAUGAAAAGAUCUUUGAACUUGAUGUCCCUUUAUAGAAACAUUGCAUGAACAACUUUUGGGUUGAACAUUUUUAUGAUUAUGAGAGACCCCAAGACUUUGAUUUUCCAUAUUUUGUAUAGCUGGAAGAAGGCUUUUCACAGACUUAAUCAUUUUACUUGCAUAAUAGCAGAAUAGUUGCAGUGUUAGCACCAAUAAAACAACCCCAGUGCACGCAAAAACGUGCAUGAGUUUAAGUUAUGUAAGACAGAUGUGGAGACCAGCCUCUUUCAUUCUCAUUACAGAUGAGAGAAUACUCUCUAAAUGAUGCUUGAUUAACAGUCUAGAAAGUCUGAAAUACAGCCUUAAACCUAAACGACUUCUCUCAUGAUAAAAGUGCGCUCUAAACAGGUGCGACUGAUAAAAUAAUAAUUUUAAUGUAACCAGGUCAAAAAGUUACAAAAGUUAUCACUGGACUGAUUAGUAAAAGCUUGAUGUUAAGGGACUCAGCAUGUAUCACACUGUAGCAUGUUCCAUCCAAUACGCUAGCCCUUUAAGAAAUGUGAAUGUGUGACGUUCUGGAAGUGUCGCGAGAUUCGCCUGUAAACAGCGCGUUUUCAUAACGUGUUUUGAAUGCUGCUCAUGCGGUGGAGCGUCGAAGCCAUAAAACUCCGUAUUAUUAUCAAUAUAAUGAGAGAGAUGCACAUAUAGUGAUUGGAAAGCCUUCUUUAAUAUUUUGUUCAUGCGGAUGGCUGUGUAUUGUGCUGAGUGACCGUGAUUUCUGUCGAGACACGUACCCAUGUGACGAAAUCAGAUCGACAAUAGAUCUCGAAGCGUAAGUGUUGAACUAUCAUCAAUGCCAGUUUAUUAUUGAGAUAAUUUUGUUGUGCAUGAUGUGAUUUGAACAUUAAGUGAUUAGUGGUCAUCCUUGAUCGAUUAUAGAGGGGAGAAGAGAGCUCUGUAGGCCUUCUGUUUCCUCAGGCCGAGUGUGAAGCAACAGAGUGAGUGUUAUUAAUUAAUCCAUUCUAAAAAUUGUUUAAUACUCAUGCAUACGUGUGUUUUUUUGUAACCAGUAGAUUGUUACAGUUGUUCUGGUGUCGUGUUUUCCAAAUGUUAAGAACCAGUGUUGUAUUGUGUCUAUUACUGUCCACAGAGGGGAAAUUGAGUUCAUCAUUGGCUGUGAAAGCGUGUACAAUGCUAUGGUGAUGCUAUGAUGAUGAACAGUAAGUUUGAAUUAGUUGACGUUUAAAGUGUACAAGUGUUAAUUUACUGUGAUUUGAGAUUGAGUGAAUAUUAGCCAGUGUAAUGUAUUAAUGUUACUGGGAAAUGUGGCUUCUAAUUUCAUUUUUAUGCAUGUUAUGUUACAUAAGCAGCCUUAUUUGAUCUUCUAUGCAUGCUGACAAAUCUUGUAACACUCUGUGUAUUUGUUUUUCAGUAUAAGAGUCCACUAUCGUUGUCUAUGUUGGUUAUAUUCAUGUAAUUGACCUGUUAAUGUGGUGACUGAGAACAAAGAGACAAGAGAGUUUGAUGUAAAGAAAAAAUAACAUCUUUAUUGAUUUCAACCACUGUAACAAGCCUUACUGUGUAACACCCUUAAGAUUUGCAUAAUUAACGCUGCACUGUUAAGUGCAGUCUGGAAUAAACGAUCCCCUUAAAAAAAAUUAAUUCCUGUGUCCGGUGUAGUCACUAACACACCGGGCCACAGAGAAUUUUGGUACCAGGAGUGGGGUUCCAUUGCUAAUUUUGGGGUGACAGUCAGGUGGAUAAGGAGAAACAUAGACAACGGUAGUGGUGAAGAGGGGUCGAGUUAGCGGUGCCAAGGAGGUUGACGACGUGAAGUGGGACGUGCCUGGAGAGCCUGCGGUGAAGCACGGGACCAGCUUUCAGGAACGCAGGAGGGUGUUCACUUCGACGCUGAGAUCGUUGACAAAGGCGACCGCAGAAAAUAGCCCUUCAGGUUAAUCCGCUGUGACUGUGUUUUGUGACUGUGUGCCAUUCGAGGUAGAGACAUUGUAAGAGCAUGGACCAGGACGAUGAUGUGCCAGCGGCUCAGGCUGGAGCCAGCCGUGAUAUGGACAAUGCUGAGGCGGUGGGUCAUGAUGAUCUAGGUAAUCCAGUGGCAGAAUUGCAGUCACAAAUUUUGGAGCUAGGUCGAAGACACGACCAAGUCAUGUCAACCCUUGCUAAUAUGAGUAAUGUUGCCACUAGAUCUUAUGUUUACAUUCCAAGGGAACGUCAACUUAUGCCAUUCAGUGGUGAUCAUGUUAAAGAUGGUCAGUCUGUAGAUGAGUUCAUUGAUGAGGUUGAACGUGUAAUUCGGGUAAGGGGUUUGAACGUUGAUGACCAAGUUGAUUUCAUACUUUCACAUUUAAGAGGUUCAGCCUUAGAUGAAGUUAAGCUGUGUAUGGGUGGGGAGACCAAGCAACCCAGUGAUCUGUUUUCAUAUUUGCGGGGGGCAUUUAGAGAGAAACGUACUACACCACAGUUGUUACAUGCUUUUUAUGCACGCAGACAGCUAGAGGGAGAAGACUUCCGUGACUUUUCCCAUGCUCUCUCUCAGCUUCUUAAUUCUGCUCUCCAACAGUCCCAUUACGCUGUGUCUGAUUCCCAGCUGGCUUUAAGAGAUCAGUUCAUCGAAGGCAUAAGAGAUGCGACUCUGCGUAGAGAGCUGCGCAAGCUGGUCAGAGAAAAGCCUCAGUCCACCCUGUUUGAUGUCCGUGAAGAGGCCAUGAUGUGGGUUGUGGAGGACAGACCCCGUGGUGCUAAUGUGGCCAGGAGUCGAAAUAUCGUGAGUACAUGUUCUGGGGAGAUGUCAGAACAUUUAAAUCCCGCCAGUGCUGCACAAAGUGACAUGGCUUCAGCUUUGCAAGAGGUAGUAAAAGUUAUCACGCAGCAGGGUAAAGCUAUUGGAGAGCUCACUAAUGCAGUUCGUGAACUUGCUGUACAAAAGGGUGGUCCCAGUGGUAGCCAGAGUGGAAAGCCAAAGUUCAAGCCCAAGUAUACAGAUGACGGCCAACCCAUCUGUUUAAGAUGUGAAGGGGUGGGACAUGUAGCUAGGCAGUGUCCUGUACCACGUAGUUCCAAAGACCAGUCCACUGCCACCACAAGUUCUGCGUUACAGGGAAACGGGGUCCCU
Molecule: long non-coding RNA, 6348 nt
Filed under: Carassius auratus (goldfish)
Lineage: Eukaryota; Metazoa; Chordata; Actinopteri; Cypriniformes; Cyprinidae
Description: lncRNA (ENSCARG00000002007.1)
Source: RNAcentral